ACCCUCGUAGCUCAGCGGAGUAGAGCGUCCGGUUCCGAGCCGGAAGGCCGCAGGUUCGAAUCCUGCCGGGGGUA
This 74-nucleotide transfer RNA is filed under the name Longispora fulva. It matches the Rfam family "tRNA". Rfam says of the family: Transfer RNA (tRNA) molecules are approximately 80 nucleotides in length. Their secondary structure includes four short double-helical elements and three loops (D, anti-codon, and T loops). Further hydrogen bonds mediate the characteristic L-shaped molecular structure. tRNAs have two regions of fundamental functional importance: the anti-codon, which is responsible for specific mRNA codon recognition, and the 3' end, to which the tRNAs corresponding amino acid is attached (by aminoacyl-tRNA synthetases). tRNAs cope with the degeneracy of the genetic code in two manners: having more than one tRNA (with a specific anti-codon) for a particular amino acid; and 'wobble' base-pairing, i.e. permitting non-standard base-pairing at the 3rd anti-codon position. Lineage: Bacteria; Bacillati; Actinomycetota; Actinomycetes; Micromonosporales; Micromonosporaceae. The record is from Rfam by way of RNAcentral.